CGCGCGGCACGUGCGGUCCCGGCAGGCCCGGCCCGACCGUUGGCGCGGAGCGGCGCGAGGGGCGGCCCCGCCCGGCCCGCGGAGGGAGCCCGGUGACACGCAGCAGGGAGAAGCGCGGCGCUGGCGAGCCGAGCCGAGGAGCGUCGGGGAGGGCCCGGGCCGGAGGGAGGGCGGCCUGCUCGCCCCGAGGACAGUCCAGGAGGGGAACGGGUCGCCCUGGGAGACCGUGCAGCCUCCGGCCUCGGCGGGUGCCGGGACCAGGCUGGGCAAAGUCCGACCGCACCGCUGACUCGGCCUCGAGCAGGAGGCUGGACCCGCGUUGUCCUGGGCUCCCACGACAGCCUGACAGGAUAAAACCCCUCCGUCCAGCAGGGUAUCGGAAAUGAAGGAGCGUCGUUUGCCAUAUCACGUAAUCCAGACCGCAGAGAAAGGGCCGACUCUGUUCAGAGCAAGACUUGGGGCCAAGCGUCUGCUGCUGCUCUAGGCUGGACCUGCAGCGCACCGAUGUCAGAGGAGGUCGAUCGUGGAUUUCAGUGACUUCUGCCCAACUUCAGCACCGCAGUGAAGUACUCCUGUAGACAGUGUCAAUGCCGAUGGCAGGAUGAACUUAAAGGCAGCCGGGGCCGACAGACCAAUCACUGCUCUUAAGAAGAUCCCUGAAAGAGUUUCUCUUAACACAGAAGAUUCUGGAUUACUUGGUAGCCUGUAAGGCAAGACAGGUUUGGGAAAGUCAGAUCUCUGCUGAGAAAAGUCAAGCAUUUUGCCACUGGAGGAUUUUCAUCUCAGACUUUGGUUCUUAAGACCCUUCUGCGAAAGGCUUUCUGUCAGUGGGCACUCAGCCUCACGCAGGAUAUUGAGUCACCACCACCUGGCAGAGGACAAGCUUUGGAAGCAGUUUCCAUGCAACAACAGUUAUCCGCUGGCAUUUCCAUUCUAUGAAUUCUACACCUGUCAUUGGCUUAUAUUCUAACAGACUUCUACAUUUUCUCAACAUUUGCUCAAUUUACAGAAUCUUUUCUAAUAGGAAUUUCUCAAAAAUGCAUUUACUCCCAGAGGACUUUAAUUAAAAUUUGAGCUGAGACCAGGGCAACAAUGUGACAUAGUUCCUGCUGAUACAAAAACAUUUCUUCCAUAUGCAUGCAUGUAUAUGUAUAUCUUUAGCCAGCAAAAUUGAAAUCACAACAGUAAACAAGCCUGUAAUUCAGUGGCAUUGGAUCUCCUUCCCAGCCCACGCUGGCACCAAACUGCCUUCAGGAAUGAACCAUUCAUAGUUUCUAUUUAAGAACCUUUCUGCCUUUGGCAGAGAACUCCAGCAGCUUACAUAUGACUCAGCCUUCUUUGAGGUCAAAAUUCAGAUUACUUUUCUCCAGGGUACCCAGCAGCAGGUAACUACAAUGUAAACUCUAAUUUUAGUUGUUUUAAAUGAAUUCUAAGCUUAUUUGCCAGAGAGUAGAAGCUAAAGAGAAAAAAUCCCAUGGACAUUAUAGAGAAAUUAUUUCAAAGCUGUACAUUGCUAGAGUCCCUUUUUAGGCUCAGAGUACAACUAAGCAACAUGAAAACUUUGUAUUUUCAAAACUCAUUAUUUCAACUAGGUUGUAUUUUCCUGCCUGGUUUUCCUUCCAGCCUUCAUCACUUUUUUUUUUUUUAAUUAUUUAUAGAAUUCUACAGUGCUUCUCUCUACCCUGUUAGCUGUGUCAGAGACCUGGGGACAGCUGGUUAACUAUAGAGUAGAGGAGAUGGGCUCUUAGGAGGGGAAGGAGUCUACAGACCUGUGAAACUCAGAGAAAGCUUAAGAGGUUACAUUAUCUCCUCUGACCCACCACUGAAACUACACUGAAGGAAAUGGCUGACUGAGAAUCUGGCUGACAUUUCCAAGAGAUGCAGGCACCCCAUUUCCUUUGAAAGAGCAUACA
Long non-coding RNA from Dromaius novaehollandiae (emu), 1913 nucleotides. RefSeq lists it as uncharacterized. Lineage: Eukaryota; Metazoa; Chordata; Aves; Casuariiformes; Dromaiidae. The record is from RefSeq and is a predicted model, not a curated record. The transcript has 3 exons.